Molecule: ribosomal RNA, 253 nt
Filed under: uncultured bacterium
Lineage: Bacteria
Description: partial 16S ribosomal RNA
Rfam family: Bacterial small subunit ribosomal RNA
Source: RNAcentral
UACGUAGGUGGCAAGCGUUAUCCGGAAUUACUGGGCGUAAAGCGCACGCAGGUGGCUAUCUAAGAUUGACGUGAAAGCUUCUGGCUUAACUGGAAGAGGUCGUUGAUGACUGGAUGGUUUGAGACGAGGAGAGGGGUGCAGAAUUCCCGGUGUAGUGGUGGAAUGCGUAGAUAUCGGGAGGAAUACCAGUGGCGAAAGUGGCACCCUGGCCUUAGUAUGACGAUCAGGUGCGAAAGCGUGGGGAGCGAACGGG